This 253-nucleotide ribosomal RNA is filed under the name uncultured bacterium. Its description in RNAcentral is "partial 16S ribosomal RNA". It matches the Rfam family "Bacterial small subunit ribosomal RNA", at positions 524 to 776 of the family's 1533-position model. The record is from RNAcentral.
UACGUAGGGCGCAAGCGUUAUCCGGAAUUAUUGGGCGUAAAGAGCUCGUAGGCGGUUUGUCGCGUCUGCCGUGAAAGUCCGGGGCUCAACUCCGGAUCUGCGGUGGGUACGGGCAGACUAGAGUGAUGUAGGGGAGACUGGAAUUCCUGGUGUAGCGGUGAAAUGCGCAGAUAUCAGGAGGAACACCGAUGGCGAAGGCGGGUCUGUGGGCCGAUACUGACGCUGAGGAGCGAAAGCGUGGGGAGCGAACAGG